UUUGUUUUUUUAGAAGGGAGAGUGAAGGCGCAAAGGAAGAUGAGGUGCAUUAAGCUGGGCGAUUUGCCCACUUCCAUCAUCUACAGGGUCCCGCCUGGCCUGUAUAGGCUUUUUUGAUCCCUGUUUGAGCGACCUGAGGUGACCGCUGGGUCAACCCUAACCAACGGGGUUUGCGUCUUAGCCCAGCUCCCGUGGCUCUGGGGAGAAUGGUUGUGCGCAGAAGCGAGGGCGCGGCGUGUGUGGUCCACGCGGGAGCAGAGCGUGCAUUCCCCGCGGAGCGCGCCGUCCCGGGCCUCGGCGACCAGGGCAUCGUCCUUUCUUCGCAUCGAGGAGUCACUUGCUUUUGAGCCCUAUGGAUUGUGCCAUGUUGGAACAGCUCGUCACUUCUGGCCUCUGGUAUUGGGAGUCCGAGCCCUUGCAUGGCAGCCUGCUUGGCCAAACUCAAGAAGACCUCAGUUUAGGAUGACUCCUUGGUCACAGGUGCUACCCACCAAUCCCAUCUUCCUUGGGGACCCUAAAGCACCUGCCCAGGACCUUGUGACUCCAUGUAACCUGAAAACUCCAAGAUAAAGAAGUCUCCUUUGGCCCUGAGUAAAUACUUCUGGAAAAGUAGAAGGAAGAGCCCAGGGCUGACGUUGGAACACCUGGAUUUGAGUUCUGGUUUUGCCAUUUAUCAGUUGAAUGACUUUUGACUAAUCACUUAUGUUAUUUAAUCUCAGUUUCCUCCUUGGCGAAAUAAGGUUAGUACCUGCCUCACAAGGUUAUUGCAGAAUUAAACUAGAUGGUGCAAGUGAAAACACUUUGUAAAGUACAAAGUACUAUGCAAAUGUGAUGCAUGAGCACUUUAGAAUAUUAGUCGACCUUUCUCCCCAGCACACUUCUACUUCCUUGUAGACUUUGCCUCCUCUGCACCCAAUCAAUUAAAUUAACUGCCACAGGAAACAGAUGAUACAAAACCAAAUGAAACAAAAACCCAGAAAUCAAAGAGAUUUUUAAGUUUCAAAUCGGGAAGCAAAAAAGCUUAGAUAUUGAUGCAUCCCCCUCUCACACUCUGGGGUUGUACAUGGGCGUGGUGUGGGAGGAGUGGUGAUGAUGGACACUUAGAUGGUUUUGGAGACCUCAAAGUAGAGAGAAUGUGUUGUUGCUUCCUUGUGAAGCUGGGGAGGUAGCAAGCCUCACAGAGUUUCCCUCUGUGUCAAGCAUGAUGCAAGCAACGGUACCAUAGCCUCAUGAGUGUCUAGGCAGUAGGUUGCUACUCGGUGCAGGAAGCAGCCAAAUGUUUUACUGAUAUAUAGAAGUAAUUCAGAGAAAGCCAGACCUGAGCGGCCUUAAAGUCAGGACAGAGUGGAGGUAGCUGUGGCCUCGAUGGACCCCGCCACUCAAAACCACAAGACUAGAGAGGAAUAAAGAUGAGUUACUAGUAUGGAUUGAGCACCAAAUACUCCUUUCCCAUGUAGGGCUUUGGCAUCCCCCCCCCCCCACCUCAGGAGGCCCCUGAACUUCUCUAUUCCCACAAACACACUGAAUGUACAGCUAUACAUAGAGCAAUUCCUUCUGGGAGAAAUCCAGAAACAAGCUGAGUGACUCCUACACAGUCAAAUGAGGAAAUACCCAGAUCAAAACGGGUUAGAAUAGGGUGAGACAUGGUCUCGCCACAAUGCCCACCUGAGCACAGCAUCAUACAAUUAGGAGGGAACCCUCAACUCCUAGCCUCUCCCUGGGUUUGGAUUGUACAUCGAGCACCCCAACCUUUAAGACCCCCACCCACAGCUCCCAUCUCCAAAACACCUAACUUUGAAUGCCAGUGGGACUUGGAUUUACUAGACCUACAAGACUAUAUAGCAAAGUAGUUCUUAUGGGCAUGUGAGCACUCCCCAUGGCAAUCCCUUCUAAACUCAGUGCAAAGGGAGCAGGUGAAAUGUCUAUCUGUGGUCUUUGCCUGGAAGGAAUUUGUACACUUACGAACCGCUGCCUGAGGGUCUGGCUUCUAAUUUAGCACGCAUUCAGGGGCUGGCUGCAAUCCUUCCCAGAACCCAAAAUAGCUGGUUGGCACUACACCCGAUUUUCCCCUCUGGUUCCCUUCAACACGUGUAGUAUGCCAACUUUUACAGUCACCACCCAAGGGAUGGGCCCCCAAAUUACCUAGCUCUGAGAGCCAGCAGGCAUUCCUGAGCCCCACUAGCACCAUAGCAAAAAGGUUUUAAAUAGGACAAGAGUGCCCUCCAGUGGCUAUAAUAAUAAUAAGUAAGUAUUUUUUAAAAAUGGAAAUAAAAAAAUAUAUAAGUAAUACAUAUUAUAACAUAAUAUACAUAUUAUGUUAUAUAUUAUAACAUAAGUAAUAUAUAUUAUAACAUAAAUAAUAAAUAUUUUUUAAAAAUGGAAAUCAAAAAAUAUAUUGAGACAAAUGGGAAUGAAAACAACAUAGCAAAAACUGAGUGCAGCAAAAAUAGUUUCAAGAAGAAGGAAGUAUAUAGAGAUAAGUGCCUAUAUUAAGGGGGAGAAAGGGGGGUGCUUGGGUGGCUCAGUCCAUAAAGCAUGACCUCAGCUCAGGUUAUCAUCCCAGGAUCCUGGGAUUGAGCCCUGUGUCCAGGCUAGCUGCACAGCAAGGAGUCUGCUUCUUCCUCUCCCUCUGCUGUGCUCACUUGUGCUCUCUCUCAAAUAAAUAAACAAAAUAUAUAUAAAAAAGAAAGCUCUCAAACAGCCUAAGUUUACACCUCAAGGAAUUAACAAAAGAACAAACUAAGCCCAAAUUUAGUAGGAAAAGAGGAAAACCCAAAAAUCAGAUUGGAAAGAAACGACAUAGAGACUAAAAGACAAUGGAAAAGAUCAAUGAAAUGAGGAGGUAGGUUUUUGAAAAAAAUAAACAAGAUUGACAGACCUUUAGCUAGAUGGAGAAAAAAGAUGCAAAAAUCAGAGGCAAAAGAGAAGACAUGACAAUUGGUAACACAGAACUAAUGAGGAUCAUAAGAAACUACUGUGAAUAAUUACACAUCAAGCAAUUAGAUGACAGGAGAGCUGGAGACAUUACUAGAGAUGUAUAACCUACCAAGACUGAAAUGAUGUAGAAAAUCUGAAUAGACCAGUUAAAUAAUUUAAACAGUAUUUCAAAGUUUGUUUCAAACAAUAUUACAAAGCAAUAAUAAUCAAAACACUAUACUACUGGCAUAAAAACAGACACAAAGAUCAAAUGGAAUAGAAUUGAAAGCCCAAACAUAAAUGCAUGCAUAUAUGGUCAAUUAACUUAUGACAAAGGAACCAGGAGUAUACAACAGGGAAAGGACAAGUCUCUUCCAUAAAUGGUGUUGGGGAAACAGGAUGGCCCCAUGCAAAAGAAUUAAACUAGAUAUCUAUUUUUAUACCAUAUACAGAAAUCAACUUGAUAUGUAUUAAAGGUUUGAAUGAAAAAUUAAAAACUUUACUUGGAUGUAAAGACAAACAGUAAGACUCAUAGAUGAAAACUGGGGUAAGCUCCUUGACAUUGGUAUCAAUGAUGAUUUUUUAGAUUUGAUGCCAAAAGCAAAGGCAAUAAAAACAAAAAUAAGCAAUUGGGAGUAAAUCAAACUAAAAAGCUUCUGCACAGCAAAGGAAACCGUCAAUGAAAUGGAAAGUUAACCUGUGGAAUGGAAGAAAAUAUUUGCAAACCACACAUCUGAUGAGGGUUAAUAUUAAAAAUAUCAAGGAACUCAUGCAACCCAAUAGAAAAAAACCCAAAUAACCCAAUUUAAAAAUGGGCAAAAGAUCUCAAUAGACAUUUUUCCAAAGAAAAAGGUCAAUAAGUACAUGGAAAGACACUUGACAUCAGUCAUCAUCAGGGAAAUGCAAAUCAAAACUACAAUGAGGUAUCACCUCACACCUGGUAGGUCAGUUUUCUGAAAGGACGAAAGAAAUGCUGGCCAGGAUGUGGAGAAAGAGAACCCUUGAGCACUGAUGGUGGCAAUGUAAAUUGGUGCAGUCACUAUGGAAAACAGUAUGGAGGGUACUCAGAAAAAUUAAAAAUAGAACUACCAUAUGAUCCAGCAAUCCCACUUGUGGCAAUGUAUCCAAGGGAAACGAAAAUUAUCUAGAAGAGAGAUCUGCACUCCUUCACUGUAGCAUUAUUCUCAAUAGUACGGAAACAACCUAAGUGAACUGGCUUCUCCAGGAAAAGCUGCUGUAUUUUGUCAGAGCAGAAAAGACACACCUGGACAUGAUAGCUGAAGGAGGGCCCCACACUAAGGAGGGGAGCCAGCGAAUAAGUGACCAUCCCCUACUGAUUUCCAUAAUAAAAGUACCAUGGCUAUCGCUUCACCCCUACCCCCCAAAUCUCAGACCCACCUAAGACUGGUACCAACAGCCCAAGCAAAUUGACACAAGCAGUGCCAAGAUUUGAUAAAGUGAGGGGGUAGGUACACAGGUGUUUUGUUGCCACCUAUUGUCAUCUUUAUGUUUGAAAUAUUUUAUCACGUGGGUACCUGGGUGGCUCAGUUGGCUAAGCAUGUGCCUUCGACUCAGGACAUGAUCUCAGGGUCUGGGAAUCCAGUCCCACAUUGGACUCACUGCUUGGCAGAGAGUCUGCUUCUCCCUCUACCCCUCCCCUCUGCUUGUCCAUGUUCUCUUUCACACACUCUCUCAAAUAAAUAAAUCAUUUUAAAAAAUGAAAUAUUUCAUCACUUAAAAAUAAUUCAAGGAGGGGUGGCUGGGUAGCUCAGUUGGUUGGGUGUCUGCCUUCAGCUCAGGUCAUGAUACGGGGGUCCUGAGAUCAAGCCCCACUUCAGGUUUCCUCCCCAAGUGGGGAACUUGCUUCUCCCUCUCUC
This 4793-nucleotide long non-coding RNA is filed under the name Canis lupus familiaris (dog). Its description in RNAcentral is "lncRNA (ENSCAFG00000058441.1)". Lineage: Eukaryota; Metazoa; Chordata; Mammalia; Carnivora; Canidae. The record is from RNAcentral.